CAAAGAAAUUCGCUCAGAGAUGGGCUCGCGUCUGAUUAGAUAGUUGGUGAGGUAACGGCUCACCAAGUCGACGAUCAGUAGCCGGACUGAGAGGUUGAACGGCCACAUUGGGACUGAGACACGGCCCAGACUCCUACGGGAGGCAGCAGUGGGGAAUAUUGCACAAUGGGGGAAACCCUGAUGCAGCGAUGCCGCGUGGAGGAAGAAGGUUUUCGGAUUGUAAACUCCUUUUAUCAGGGACGAUAAUGACGGUACCUGAAGAAAAAGCUCCGGCUAACUACGUGCCAGCAGCCGCGGUAAUACGUAGGGAGCGAGCGUUGUCCGGAAUUACUGGGUGUAAAGGGAGCGUAGGCGGGACGGCAAGUCAGAUGUGAAAACUGAGGGCUCAACCUUCAGACUGCAUUUGAAACUGCUGUUCUUGAGUGAAGUAGAGGUAAGCGGAAUUCCUAGUGUAGCGGUGAAAUGCGUAGAUAUUAGGAGGAACAUCGGUGGCGAAGGCGGCUUACUGGGCUUUUACUGACGCUGAGGCUCGAAAGCGUGGGGAGCAAACAGGAUUGGAUACCCUGGUAGUCCACGCUGUAAACGAUGAUUACUAGGUGUGGGGGGACUGACCCCUUCC
This 619-nucleotide ribosomal RNA is filed under the name uncultured bacterium. Its description in RNAcentral is "bacterial SSU rRNA". It matches the Rfam family "Bacterial small subunit ribosomal RNA", at positions 202 to 842 of the family's 1533-position model. The record is from RNAcentral.